UAGUCCACGCCGUAAACGAUGGUUACUAGCUGUUCGGAACUUGUUCUGAGUGGCUAAGCGAAAGUGAUAAGUAACCCACCUGGGGAGUACGUUCGCAAGAAUGAAACUCAAAGGAAUUGACGGGGGCCCGCACAAGCGGUGGAGCAUGUGGUUUAAUUCGAUGAUACGCGAGGAACCUUACCAGGGCUUAAAUGUAGUGCGACAGGGAUGGAAACAUCUUUUCCUUCGGGCGCGUUACAAGGUGCUGCAUGGUUGUCGUCAGCUCGUGCCGUGAGGUGUCAGGUUAAGUCCUAUAACGAGCGCAACCCCUGUUGUUAGUUGCCAGCGAGUCAAGUCGGGAACUCUAACAAGACUGCCAGUGCAAACUGUGAGGAAGGUAAGGAUGACGUCAAGUCAGCAUGCCCCUUACGCUCUGGGCUACACACGUGCUACAAUGGUCGUGACAAAGAGUUGCUAGUCUGCGAAGGCAAGCCAAUCUCAUAAACGCGGCCUUAGUUCGGAUUG
RNAcentral lists this ribosomal RNA (504 nucleotides) under uncultured bacterium. Its description in RNAcentral is "bacterial SSU rRNA". It matches the Rfam family "Bacterial small subunit ribosomal RNA", at positions 791 to 1300 of the family's 1533-position model. The record is from RNAcentral.